RNAcentral lists this long non-coding RNA (450 nucleotides) under Nicotiana benthamiana. RNAcentral's name for it is "long non-coding RNA (NBEN_LNC006041)". Lineage: Eukaryota; Viridiplantae; Streptophyta; Magnoliopsida; Solanales; Solanaceae. The record is from RNAcentral.
UCUUCUUUUAUGGCAUUAAUACCAACUCUUCUCCCUCUCUUGAAUGAUUGAUGACACUGGUAUCUAUAUCUGAGAUAGACAUGAUUAUUUCACCUUUGGAUCUGGUUUGGUAUGGGUGGGUUUCCUGUAUGCUGAGGUGAACUAACUGCCUGAAUAAUGAUGAUAGCAAAGAAACACUUAAGGAAAAUGGAAGAUCAACAGUCAAUAGAAGUAGGAAAACAGCUCAGAUUUAGGAAUUUGAACCUACAGAAUGUCCAAUAAAACUGUAAUUUUAUCACAGCUUGAUCUAAAACUUUCCAAAAACUGACAUCAAACCAUUUUAAAUCUGUGUGAAUAAGAAAACUAGUUCAAAAAUUUAGAGACCUCAACAUUUAAAAGAACUUGAUCAAACAGUAAUUUUGAUUUCAACUCUUAAAAUCUCUUCAGUAUUUUUUUUCCAGAAUGUUCUGC